Lycium barbarum (goji berry) is the source of this 619-nucleotide long non-coding RNA. RefSeq lists it as uncharacterized. The record is from RefSeq and is a predicted model, not a curated record. The transcript has 3 exons. Lineage: Eukaryota; Viridiplantae; Streptophyta; Magnoliopsida; Solanales; Solanaceae.
GCCAAGUGGAACAAAUAUGUCACCUACUAGCAUAAAGAAAUACUUCUUUUGCUAAGUUGACAGUUUAGAACUUCAUAUUGUGAAAAGGUUAUCUCGGUUAAGCUGAAAAUUGAAUCUUAGAAUUGAAGGCUUCAUCCUUCACGGCUACUUGUGGGUACUGGUCUUGAUCCUUGGAGAGGGUGGAGGAAAUUCGCUCUUAACUGCGCUCUUACAGAUCUGUAAAGACCUCCAGAUUUCAACAAUUUCAACAAUCUCAACCUCAACUAAAGCUUCGAGAGAGAUGGUGGUUGAAGGUGAGAGCUUUCUGUGGUGCUUUGUUUGUAGAGCUUGGUGGGAGAAUCAGCUGGGUUAUGGAGCUGCUCUGUUUUUAUGAUUUUUUAUGGUGUUUUCAUGGCAGAAAAAGAUGGCUCCAUGACAGGUUUCUUAGCAAUUUUUCAUGGUGAUUUUGGGUGUAUCCUUAGGGGAUCAAAAUCAAUUUUUCUAUAAGUUUGAAUAAUAGUGUAAAAGUGUGUAUAAACAUCUCUUAAAGACUAUUAUACACUUUUAUACCAUUUUUUUUGUGCGGAGUACCCUUCAAAUGCACUGGUCUUUAAUUUUUGCCCCUCAAAUUGGUGGUCUU